AAUGUUACUUUUUUGAGAAAUCCUUUAGGGGCUUUAGCACACCCCCAACAAAACGAAAAACAAGAAGCUAUAGCCUCAAUGGCUAUAGGCCUCAAACAACUGGGCUAAGAAUGCAUGACACGCCGUUUCAGAUUUUUGAACUAGCAGGACACAUGGUGUAAUCACCAUAGCAUUGCCUUUGUUGCUUCAGACAGGUUAGAAAUGGCUUUGAGAAAGAAACUAUGGGAGAAUCUUGUAGAAGAAUUCAGUAAAACCUAUUUUAUGCAUUCGAGAUUUUAUAGUUCAAGAGUCGACUUUAAGAAGCUAAGGCCUAUGAUAUUAAAGAGGAUUCAAAAUCGUGCCAAGGAUUAUCCGGUAAAAGGAAUGGUCCCGGUUGCCCGAGAGGUUCUUGAAAAAAGAAAGCUUCUUAUUCAAGGUGUUUCCACUCUUAUGGAAGUUUUUCCGGUCCUCGCUUGCAAGUUCUGUCCUGAAGUAUAUAUUGGUGAGAAGGGUCAUUUGAUUCAGACUUGUUAUGGUUACAAGCGUUGUGGUAGGAAGCGGGUUCAUGAAUGGAUCCCUGGGGGUUUAAAUGAUAUACUGGUGCCAGUAGAGACAUUUCGCUUAGAUAACAUGUUCCAAGAUGUUAUCGAACAUGACCAAAGGUUUGAUUUUGAUCGUGUUCCUGCAGUUGUGGAGUUAUGCAGGCAGGCAGGUGCCAAUAUAGAUGAUGAGAAUCUCCACCCUGGCAUGUUGGAUUUGGACGGGGGGAUUGGUCAUAUUGAUGGAGGUGAGCCUUUCUCACCUAGCCAUUUGAUGUAUAUAGCCAAAGAAAUUCUCGAUGCAUGGGAGAAGCUUAGAUCAGGUGUGCAAAGGUUGUUGUUGGUUUAUCCAUCCAAAGUUUGCAAGCAUUGUUCUGAAGUUCAUGUUGGGCCAUCUGGACACAAGGCUCGGCUUUGUGGGGUAUUUAAGUUUGAGAGCUGGCAUGGGAAGCACUUCUGGAAGAAGGCAGAAGUUGAUGAUUUAGUGCCUCCAAAGAUUGUGUGGCGGCGGCGGCGGCCUCAAGAUCCUCCUGUUCUUGUGAAUGAAGGGCGAGAUUUUUACGGACAUGCACCAGCAGUGGUGGAUCUAUGCACGAAGACUGGCAUUAUUGUACCAACAAAGUAUUCUUGCAUGAUGAAAAUUCAGGGUUUAUCAGCACCUGUUUCAAGAUGAUGUCUUUUGAUUGAAUCUAAAGUUGAGUCGGCAUCAAGAUAUUCGUUCUGAUGAUUUAUGAGCCUCAAAAACGCAUGUGAUAUACAGUCAAAGUUCAAAAUCGAAACAUGGCUGUCUAGGUGAACAGAUUUCAAGCAAUACAUAGCUGUCCAGGUCUUUCUCUCUUCUUUUUUCUCUCUUGAAUGGGACUGAUCAGGGAUGAACAAAAACCUUAUGCUUAAUACAAUGAGAUUGGUGGUGGAGAUUUUGACAGGUAUCCUCUUCUACAUUCAACUGGAUAAAAUGUCACAGUUGCUGAUCUCAAGCGAGAGAUUGAGGCACAGCAAGAGCUGCCUCAAGAUCGAUUGAUCAGGUUUCUCGAUAACCAUCAAAGCCAUCUGAUAAUUUAUCAGGAUUGGAGAUGGAACGUCUCUAGUUGAUUGUGGGAUUCAAGAUGGAUCUCACAUCUACCUUUUCUUCGAUCCACUUCACGAUGAGUCUCCUCAUCACUUGUUCUCCUGGCAUGAUCCUUUCUUGAAGUAGUCAUAGCAUUCUUUUCGAAAUUCCACGUUGAAAAGAGGUUUAAACUUUGCCAUACUGUUGUAUGUUUGAGGUUAAGUGGACGAAAGAAAAUACUUAGAAUAGACAUGAAGAGCAGCUACACAUUACUAAUAUAUCAUUAGAGAAAUGAAUUAUUA
RNA transcript from Populus nigra (black poplar), 1868 nucleotides. It is a transcript of the gene named APO protein 4, mitochondrial, with no coding region annotated. The record is from RefSeq and is a predicted model, not a curated record. The transcript is spliced from 4 exons. Lineage: Eukaryota; Viridiplantae; Streptophyta; Magnoliopsida; Malpighiales; Salicaceae.